AACCUAAAGGCGGAAUGAAAGUAAAGGGGGCUUUGCUUCCGAGGGAAGAUGGGUACGUCUUGCCUUUAAAGGCGGUACCCCGCACUCCCGGGGCGUCUCUUUUCUCUUUAUGAGUGGAGGCGCACCUAUAGCGCACACGCUGAUACCCGAAAGAUGGUGAACUAUGCCUGGCCAGGACGAAGCCAGGGGAAACCCUGGUGGAGGUCCGCAGCGAUUCUGACGUGCAAAUCGAUCGUCGGAGCUGGGUAUAGGGGCGAAAGGCCAAUCGAACCAUCUAGUAGCUGGUUCCCUCUGAAGUUUCCCUCAGGAUAGCUUGCGCUCGGAGAGAAGAGUCUCAUCCGGUAGAGCGAAUGAUUAGAGGCCUUGGGGUCGAAACGACCUCAACCUAUUCUCAAACUCCAAAUAGAUGAGAUGCCCGGCUUGCUUGAAAGUGAAGCCGGGACUCGGAUCAGAGUGCCAAGUGGGCCAAUUUUGGUAAGCAGAACUGGCGCUGUGGGAUGAACCAAACGCAGAGUUAAGGCGCCUGAAUCGACGCUCAUGUGAAACCAUGAAAGGCGUUGGUUGCUUAAGACAGCAGGAUGGUGGCCAUGGAAGUCGGAAUCCGCUAAGAGAGGGGGUGUAAAAA
This 625-nucleotide ribosomal RNA is filed under the name Anthocoris montanus. RNAcentral's name for it is "eukaryotic LSU rRNA". It matches the Rfam family "Eukaryotic large subunit ribosomal RNA", at positions 705 to 1288 of the family's 3401-position model. Lineage: Eukaryota; Metazoa; Arthropoda; Insecta; Hemiptera; Anthocoridae. The record is from RNAcentral.